GUGAAUCAUCGAAUUUUUGAACGCAAAUUGCGCUUCCUAGCAUCCCGGGUAGUAUGCCUGUUUGAGGGUCAGUAUUAACAAAAAAAUCGGUUUGGUUGCAAAUUUUGACGUUUCCGGGGUUUGUGCUUAUCUUAACUUUUUUGGUUAAUGGGCUUAAAAUUGACCUUUGUUGCGCAUUUUUAGACGUACAUAAUUGUUUUUUUAUUCGUCUGUUCGUUAGGCCAAAAUCUUAUUAGAUUC
Molecule: unclassified non-coding RNA, 240 nt
Filed under: Glomeraceae sp.
Lineage: Eukaryota; Fungi; Glomeromycota; Glomeromycetes; Glomerales; Glomeraceae
Description: partial contains 5.8S ribosomal RNA and internal transcribed spacer 2
Rfam family: 5.8S ribosomal RNA (bases 1-71)
Source: RNAcentral